GAAGGUGGCCUGUGAGGGUUGCUGGAGGUAUCAGAAGUGCGAAUGCUGACAUAAGUAACGAUAAAGCGGGUGAAAAGCCCGCUCGCCGGAAGACCAAGGGUUCCUGUCCAACGUUAAUCGGGGCAGGGUGAGUCGACCCCUAAGGCGAGGCCGAAAGGCGUAGUCGAUGGGAAACGGGUUAAUAUUCCCGUACUUGGUGUUACUGCGAAGGGGGGACGGAGAAGGCUAUGUUGGCCGGGCGACGGUUGUCCCGGUUUAAGCGUGUAGGUGUGUGUUCCAGGUAAAUCCGGUUCACUUUAACACUGAGGCGUGACGACGAGGCACUACGGUGCUGAAGCAACAAAUGCCCUGCUUCCAGGAAAAGCCUCUAAGCAUCAGGUAACAUCAAAUCGUACCCCAAACCGACACAGGUGGUCAGGUAGAGAAUACCAAGGCGCUUGAGAGAACUCGGGUGAAGGAACUAGGCAAAAUGGUGCCGUAACUUCGGGAGAAGGCACGCUGACAUGUAGGUGAAGUGAUUUACUCAUGGAGCUGAAGUCAGUCGAAGAUACCAGCUGGCUGCAACUGUUUAUUAAAAACACAGCACUGUGCAAACACGAAAGUGGACGUAUACGGUGUGACGCCUGCCCGGUGCCGGAAGGUUAAUUGAUGGGGUCAGCGCAAGCGAAGCUCCUGAUCGAAGCCCCGGUAAACGGCGGCCGUAACUAUAACGGUCCUAAGGUAGCGAAAUUCCUUGUCGGGUAAGUUCCGACCUGCACGAAUGGCGUAAUGAUGGCCAGGCUGUCUCCACCCGAGACUCAGUGAAAUUGAACUCGCUGUGAAGAUGCAGUGUACCCGCGGCAAGACGGAAAGACCCCGUGAACCUUUACUAUAGCUUGACACUGAACAUUGAGCCUUGAUGUGUAGGAUAGGUGGGAGGCUUUGAAGUGUGGACGCCAGUCUGCAUGGAGCCGACCUUGAAAUACCACCCUUUAAUGUUUGAUGUUCUAACGUGGACCCGUUACCCGGGUUGCGGACAGUGUCUGGUGGGUAGUUUGACUGGGGCGGUCUCCUCCUAAAGAGUAACGGAGGAGCACGAAGGUUGGCUAAUCCUGGUCGGACAUCAGGAGGUUAGUGCAAUGGCAUAAGCCAGCUUGACUGCGAGCGUGACGGCGCGAGCAGGUGCGAAAGCAGGUCAUAGUGAUCCGGUGGUUCUGAAUGGAAGGGCCAUCGCUCAACGGAUAAAAGGUACUCCGGGGAUAACAGGCUGAUACCGCCCAAGAGUUCAUAUCGACGGCGGUGUUUGGCACCUCGAUGUCGGCUCAUCACAUCCUGGGGCUGAAGUAGGUCCCAAGGGUAUGGCUGUUCGCCAUUUAAAGUGGUACGCGAGCUGGGUUUAGAACGUCGUGAGACAGUUCGGUCCCUAUCUGCCGUGGGCGCUGGAGAACUGAGGGGGGCUGCUCCUAGUACGAGAGGACCGGAGUGGACGCAUCACUGGUGUUCGGGUUGUCAUGCCAAUGGCACUGCCCGGUAGCUAAAUGCGGAAGAGAUAAGUGCUGAAAGCAUCUAAGCACGAAACUUGCCCCGAGAUGAGUUCUCCCUGAGACUUAGAGUCUCCUGAAGGAACGUUGAAGACGACGACGUUGAUAGGCCGGGUGUGUAAGCGCAGCGAUGCGUUGAGCUAACCGGUACUAAUGAACCGUGAGGCUUAACCUUACAACGCCGAAG
RNAcentral lists this ribosomal RNA (1707 nucleotides) under Salmonella enterica subsp. enterica serovar Tennessee. RNAcentral describes it as "bacterial LSU rRNA". It matches the Rfam family "Bacterial large subunit ribosomal RNA", at positions 1252 to 2925 of the family's 2925-position model. The record is from RNAcentral. Lineage: Bacteria; Pseudomonadati; Pseudomonadota; Gammaproteobacteria; Enterobacterales; Enterobacteriaceae.